UUCUAGUUUGCUCUUGAGAUUAAUGUAGUGCAAACGUAACCAAAAGAGUUUGAGAGAUAUAAAUUACUAUAAACUAAACAAUGCAGAAAAUUAAAUUGCUUGGACGAUCAAUAAAGAUAAACCCAGGGUUAAAUCUAUGUGAACAAUCAUACUAAGGAAUUGAAAUUCAAUGCUUAGAUUACUUAUCUCGGUUGUUGAUUAACAGAUUUAUAGUAUGAUCAUGG
RNAcentral lists this long non-coding RNA (224 nucleotides) under Capsicum annuum. RNAcentral describes it as "long non-coding RNA (CANN_LNC019146)". Lineage: Eukaryota; Viridiplantae; Streptophyta; Magnoliopsida; Solanales; Solanaceae. The record is from RNAcentral.